RNAcentral lists this ribosomal RNA (253 nucleotides) under uncultured bacterium. RNAcentral describes it as "partial 16S ribosomal RNA". It matches the Rfam family "Bacterial small subunit ribosomal RNA", at positions 524 to 776 of the family's 1533-position model. The record is from RNAcentral.
UACGGAGGGGGCUAGCGUUGUUCGGAAUUACUGGGCGUAAAGCGCACGUAGGCGGCUUUGUAAGUUAGAGGUGAAAGCCCGGGGCUCAACUCCGGAAUUGCCUUUAAGACUGCAUCGCUAGAAUUGUGGAGAGGUAAGUGGAAUUCCGAGUGUAGAGGUGAAAUUCGUAGAUAUUCGGAAGAACACCAGUGGCGAAGGCGACUUACUGGACACAUAUUGACGCUGAGGUGCGAAAGCGUGGGAAGCAAACAGG